Molecule: ribosomal RNA, 252 nt
Filed under: uncultured bacterium
Lineage: Bacteria
Description: partial 16S ribosomal RNA
Rfam family: Bacterial small subunit ribosomal RNA
Source: RNAcentral
UACGUAGGGGGCUAGCGUUGUCCGGAAUCAUUGGGCGUAAAGAGCGUGUAGGCGGCCCGGUAAGUCCGCUGUGAAAGUCGGGGGCUCAACCCUCGAAUGCCGGUGGAUACUGUGGGCUAGAGUGCGGAAGAGGCGAGUGGAAUUCCUGGUGUAGCGGUGAAAUGCGCAGAUAUCAGGAAGAACACCCGUGGCGAAGGCGGCUCUCUGGGACGGUACUGACGCUGAGACGCGAAAGCGUGGGGAGCGAACAGG